GUAGUGGCAAGCGUUGUCCGGAUUUAUGGGUUUAAAGGGUGCGUAGGCGGUCUUGUAAGUCAGUGGUGAAAUACGGCAGCUUAACUGUCGAGGUGCCAUUGAUACUGCAGGACUUGAGUACAGACGAGGUAGGCGGAAUUGACGGUGUAGCGGUGAAAUGCUUAGAUAUCGUCAAGAACACCGAUAGCGAAGGCAGCUUACUAGACUGUAACUGACGCUGAUGCACGAAAGUGUGGGGAUCAAACAGGAUUAGAUACCCUGGUAGUCCACACUGUAAACGAUGAUUACUCGAUGUUGGCGAUACACAGCCAGCGUCUUAGCGAAAGCGAUAAGUAAUCCACCUGGGGAGUACGCCGGCAACGGUG
This 365-nucleotide ribosomal RNA is filed under the name uncultured organism. RNAcentral's name for it is "bacterial SSU rRNA". It matches the Rfam family "Bacterial small subunit ribosomal RNA", at positions 528 to 896 of the family's 1533-position model. The record is from RNAcentral.